Molecule: long non-coding RNA, 1053 nt
Organism: Cygnus atratus (black swan)
Lineage: Eukaryota; Metazoa; Chordata; Aves; Anseriformes; Anatidae
Exons: 3
Source: RefSeq, a predicted model, not a curated record
GGGGCCGGCUGCUCGGGGAUAGGCUGGGCAUCGGUCACCGGGUGGUGGUUUUCCUUGGAAGAACCACUAAGACAGUUCAGAAAAUAGCAAUAGGACCAUUUCUCCGUGCCAUUCACUGCUCCACUUCAGAGCCUGCUGUAUCACAACCUGGAUGCUGUCUGGUUCCUCUUCACUGGAAACCUGCCUGCUUCAUUCUCUGGUUGCUAUGGAGUCACUCGCUGCCUUUCAAUCUCGAGAUGUCUGACUUCCUUGGCCACUUCUACCUGCGGCAUUUGAUUCUUAUGUUGAUGCCUCUGCUCUCAGCACUGUGACUUGAAGCCCUCUGUCCCAGCUCCUCAGUACUGCUCCUUUCCAGCUUCUGGAUCCAUGUUUCACUCGUUAGUGUAAUAGCGUUAUUAGGCAGCACUCAGCCAUGUUAGGCUGCAGAGCAAAUGUUACAAGGGGACCCUGUUUGAAAGAGAUGUGCAUUCCUUGGGAGAUGAGGCCAUGCAUUUCUAAGCAAGUAAGGAUUUAUAUAGAAACAGAGGUUUGUUUAAAAAGACUGGGAUUUUUUAUUUAUUUUUUAUUUUUUUUCCCCUUGUGAUUGGACUCCAGAUUAAACAAACAGGGAGACAGGAAGGACUUAACAUAAUACAGAAGAAUAAGUGGGAAAAAAGGGAGUAAUUUGAGAAGAAAAUUGAAAGCUUAUUGUUUUCAGUUCUGUUGCUUUGGUAAUUUUCUUCAAGAAUGUAAAUUCAUUUGAUUUUUUUUUUCUGAGGGAAGAAAUUUCUUUUUAAUAAAAUUUACACUAUGGAUUUUUUUUUUUGUAAAUAAUGACUCCUCAAUACUUCAGUUUAUGUCUCCCAUGCCACAUAGUCUCAUCUUUCCAUUAUAUUUCAUACUUGCACUGAAUGGUUUUCAUUUGCUAGCUUGCUACUGUAAAUGGAAUUCAUUAAUCUGAGGCAAAAGUAAUUAUAACAAAGAACAAAAAAUAUCAGAUUAUUAAGAUGAUAUCUUUCUUUGUUCAGAUGGGUUACUUCCAUCCAUUCAUCAUCUCAUGAAAACACUAAGUUA